CAUAGAUCUGUUAUUUUAUGCGCAGACUUUCAUGUAAUUUUCGUUUGCCUUAGAUGAAAAAUUAGAAGAUGAAGCAGGCUUAGCAUGUGAAGCCAAAGGGAGUUUGGUUAAUCAUGCCAAAAUUUGGGAUUUCAAGCCAGAUGUUUGCAAGUGAACUUAAAAGCAAAGGAUGAAAAUUCUAUUAAGCAACACCAAGCUGCACAUUCAGUGAUUAUCAGUCAGUAUAAAUCCCAAGUGUAUAUACAACAAAAUAAUAAAUAUACUUUUAUUCUUUGUCAGAGUAUCUGUCCAAUGCCCAUACUUACAAAAAACAGCAACUCUUUGGUUUCUCAGCAUUCAAAUAUCCUCAUAGAGUUUCGAAUUGCCUGUCGACAGAGAGGACACUUCGGUGAUACCUCACGUUCAACUGAUAUAGCACAGAGUUGGCAACAAACAAGAUGCCCACAUGGAAUGAACGCAGAACGUCUUCUCCUCAUCAAGCAAAUCACACACAACUGUCCAUCAGGCAGGUCUCCUAUCUCCUCAUCUGCAUCAAUCUGUGGGAUAUUGCCAUUGAUAUCAGCAUGGUUUUGCUGCUGAGACUGUCUCUGUUGCCUCCACUCUUUCCACCUAUUCCAGUUCCUCACAACUGCAUACCCGAGAAUACCAAUUGAAAUUGAACCUAGAACAAUACCACUCCACAGCAGUACUUUUGUCUCGAAGGCAAGAUCCACCACCAUUUCAUCUUUAGUCAUAUCUGACAGAAAAUAGGGAAGAUUCUUGCAAGAUUUUAUCUCAAGAACCCCAUUUCUAGAAUUGCAAAUGCCAACAGCAUUGACCUCCUUCCCUAAUGGGAGGAUUUUCUCCUCAUCAAGCAGCCCAACAGGGUAUUCAUGUCCAAAAAGUGCUUGAAGGAAUGUAUAUGGUGAAGCAUCGAUAGGUUGCAACUGAUGAUAAACUGUUAUAAGAGGUAAAGGAUGUCUUGAACCAUCCAUAUUCACAAUAACAUAAUCUGAUUGAGGCCAUCGACCACCUUCAACAAGAACAAAAGGAACCGUUCGCAAUGAGGUUGAUUCUUGUUCCCUCCAAGAUCUGCCAAAGAUAGCUCGUAGAUCAGAAGUCCAUCCAAAGAAACCCUUCCAUUCAUUGAAUAUACACUUCAUAGCAAAUUAGCCAAAAAAAUCCGCAUCAGAUUUCUUUACAACUUGAGAAUCAGUCACACAGCAGUUAGAGAUAUUCCAAAGAAAUAUCAAUUUACCCCUUCAAAAAGAAGUUGUUUCCAACCAAAUAAUUUGUUGUGAUCUUAAAAAUACAAUAUGUUCUCAAAGAGAUUCAAUGUCUUUAAUACAUGACCCAAUAAUCAAGCGGGCCCACGUGACAGACAUGGAUUCUACGUCAUCUAUAUUUCAUCUCUCUUUGCCAUGUCUUCAUUAAGAACAUAUCACUGUAAUUUUAAUUUUCUGGUCAGAUUUUUCAAAGCGAUAUUGUAAACAUGUUCAGACAAGCAUUAGCAUCUUCAUAUCUAUGGCUGUCAAUUGAUCUCUUGUUAAGCAUUCAAAAUAAUUUAUUCCGUCCAUCAAUUACCUAAUAGGCUAGCAGCCCACUGCACCACUAUCUGCGCAUGGUCUAGCAAUCCUAAACCAAUAAAAAGUUUGCAUUUCCAGCCUAACAACCUUCAACUGCACCUCCUACGACAUAUUAGAAGCUCGUGUGGCUGCAAAUUUUAUUGAGUUUUAAUCAUGAUCAACAGUGGCAGAUCUAGAAAAAAAAAUUUCCAGGGUCAAUAUAUAAGCAAAUCAUAUAAUAUACUUGGUGCACUAAAAAAUAAUACACUUAAUACUCAUAUAAAAGCAAUUGAAUUUUAAAUUUAGGAAGAUAAGGCCCAUACCUUUUGUAGGUAAAGAUUAACUUACACCAUAAGCACACAAUA
Molecule: unclassified non-coding RNA, 1909 nt
Filed under: Hevea brasiliensis (rubber tree)
Lineage: Eukaryota; Viridiplantae; Streptophyta; Magnoliopsida; Malpighiales; Euphorbiaceae
Source: RNAcentral